Oreochromis niloticus (Nile tilapia) is the source of this 871-nucleotide long non-coding RNA. RefSeq lists it as uncharacterized. The record is from RefSeq and is a predicted model, not a curated record. NCBI's taxonomy places the organism in Eukaryota, Metazoa, Chordata, Actinopteri, Cichliformes, Cichlidae. The transcript is spliced from 3 exons.
GAUUCAUAAUGGCAAAUAUUUAAAAGUGGAGUAUAAGCACAUAGUGAGUGAAACAGGUGACUGACACUGAAACACUUAGUGCAUUACGGUAAUCUAGUUUUUCAGCACCACUUUGAGACAGACAUGGCAGAAAGCAAGUAGUUUAAUAUGGACACUGAAGGAUAUAAUCUGGUCAAAAAUAACUACAAGGUUUCUCACAGUGUUCCUGGAGGCAAAGAUAAUGACAUUAAGAGAACGUAUCUGGUGAAAUACCACAUAUCUGAGAUUUAUUUUGGGUCAAAUCUCUGUUUAGAUAUUUAAUUCAUAUUAUUGAUCAGCUUGGAUCAUUUCAGUAGAUCAAGAGGAAAGUGAAGAAGAUGACCUCAUCACUCGUGUCAUCAUCAAGAUAUCAGCUCAUCGAGAACAAUCUGACAAAGAAAGACGAGAUAUUUAUUUUGUAGUUGUGGUCUACUCAGCGGUGAGAAGUGAAGACAUCAGUUAUGGACAAACAAUCAUCAGAACAAGGAGGCCCAGACUUUAAACCAGAGCCAGACGUCGUCUACUCUUCACUGAAGUAGUCCACCAGUCCAACCAGUGACGUCCAGCUGCUGGUCUCUAACUGGUCUUCCCAGCACCUCAGACCAGAGGGAAAAAACGAUAAAACACAUUUUUACAUGUUUUAUGUCAUUUUUUGUGUAUUUCUUUAUCAGAAUAUUAAAUAUUUUACAUUCGAGGCUAAAUGAGUAAUGUACAAAGGGCCUACACCAUACACCAGUGAAGAUUAGUUAGUGAUAUCAUACGUCAGAAUGUGUUCAGUAACAAACACAUUGUGGUGAUAAGUCUAACAAAAGUCAGAAGAAAUGAUGCAGAAAGAUGCAUCUGGUUAAAAGGG